AGGACUGGUGAAUGGACUUCGCUUUAUCACAAUAAAAAGCAAGCGGUUUUGCCUAACUUUAAGUGAGAAGCAAGAUCUGUACCUCCGUGAAUGUUUGCCAGUCUCCUAGUCCACCUCACCGGCUGCCACCACCAGAGUUACCCCCUUUCUCCUUUUGUUUUCCAUCGAGCUCCAUAUCUCUGCCGUCGCCGUUGAGGUGUGUGC
This 204-nucleotide long non-coding RNA is filed under the name Setaria italica (foxtail millet). RNAcentral describes it as "long non-coding RNA (SITA_LNC004957)". Lineage: Eukaryota; Viridiplantae; Streptophyta; Magnoliopsida; Poales; Poaceae. The record is from RNAcentral.